GUGCCAGCCGCGCGGUAAUACCGGCAGCCCGAGUGAUGGCCGAUCUUAUUGGGCCUAAAGCGUCCGUAGCUGGCUGCGCAAGUCUGUCGGGAAAUCCACUCGCCCAACGAGUGGGCGUCCGACGGAAACUGCACAGCUUGGGACCGGAAGGCUCGAAGGGUACGUUCGGGGUAGAAGUGAAAUCCCAUAAUCCCGCACGGACCACCGAUGGCGAAAGCACUUCGAGAAAACGGAUCCGACGGUGAGGGACGAAAGCUAAGGUCGCGAACCGGAUUAGAAACCCAGGUAGUCC
RNAcentral lists this ribosomal RNA (292 nucleotides) under uncultured bacterium. Its description in RNAcentral is "partial 16S ribosomal RNA". It matches the Rfam family "Archaeal small subunit ribosomal RNA", at positions 455 to 747 of the family's 1478-position model. The record is from RNAcentral.